AACUGAUACUACCUGCGGGAACCUGCGGAAGGAUCAUUACCGAGUUUACAACUCCCAAACCCCAAUGUGAACAUUACCUUUACUGUUGCUUCGGCGGGAUCGCCCCGGGCGCGGCCGAGAGGCCCAGCCCCGGAUCCAACGUGCGCCCGCCGGAGGACCCCAGACUCCAUGUUUCUUGCAAGGUAUUUCUGAGCUGCUCCUAGCGAGCAAAACAAAAAAUGAAUCAAAACUUUUAGCAAU
This 240-nucleotide unclassified non-coding RNA is filed under the name soil metagenome. RNAcentral's name for it is "partial contains 5.8S ribosomal RNA, internal transcribed spacer 2, and large subunit ribosomal RNA". The record is from RNAcentral.